Molecule: long non-coding RNA, 311 nt
Filed under: Elaeis guineensis (African oil palm)
Lineage: Eukaryota; Viridiplantae; Streptophyta; Magnoliopsida; Arecales; Arecaceae
Description: long non-coding RNA (EGUI_LNC022531)
Source: RNAcentral
UUCAGCUGCGUUGGUAUCCGGGUCCACUUGGGCUUUUACUUUGUCAUGCAUGUCGUUUACUUUGACUACUUCUAUAUCAAAAAUUUUUCACAAAAUUGCACUCAUAAUGGUGAAAAGUAGGAGGCCCUUUUGUACAUGAAGGGGCCAUUGGGCGUGGACAUUUGCGGGCACCGUUAGGCAUUGCUCGGAAGAGUGGAAGGCGCUGUACUGCUGGAAUUUAGCAGUCAAUGUUUCUUUCCUCCUAUACCACUCACUGCCUCAAAAUUUUCCUUUUCCAUCAUGCCUAAUCUUGUCAGGACAAAGGGUGGGCA